UAUCGACAUUUCAGGGUUUAUCUUAUUAUUGGAUUUAUGGAGUUGGAGAUGACUUUUGAAAAGUAAAAAAAGAGGAGAUUUUAGGAGAUUAUUAUUUAUUAUUUUAUUUUGGAAAAAUGCUGGUGGUACAAGUGUGUUUUUUGUGGAGAAAGAGAUGCAAGAGAACGAGACCACUUGAUUAUUCUUUGCUUGUCCGUAAUCUUAUACAGUGUGGGAUACAGUGGCAGGAAGGUUACUUGGCUUUCGUAUAAACCCUGAUUGGCAUGACACGCUGAGUACAAUUCAUGAUGGAAGGUUUAUCCAUGUGGAUAAAGUCCUCAUACGAAUGGUUUUUCAAACGACUAUCUAUCUUAUAUGGAGGGAAAGUAAUGCUAGGAGACGUCAAAAUAGCAUACAAACGACAUUUCAGUUGAUAAGGCUCAUAGGCAAAGCACUCAGGAACAUGAUUUCCUCUCUCAAAUAUAAUGAUCGACAUAUGUUGGAGAAUUUGAUGAGACGAUGGUUUGAAUCUCUUGGCACUUAACUAUACAUGAAAAGUUAACAAUUCAGAAGGACCUUUUCUCCUUUUUCUCAGAUAGAGUUAUAUACAUCAUAUCAAUAUUCUUUUGUACAUGAGUCAUGAUCAAUAAAUUUAAAAUUUCAAAAAACAAAUAUGCCAAGAUUCCAUAAACUUACCUCGUUAAUAACACUGGUAGGCAACUUCCACCAAUAUUCUCAACCUCGAUCGAGCACCUAAAAAAUGGAACAUUGUUCAGCCCUUGUCGACCAGAGAACAAAGCAAGAGCCGGCAAUAAAAUAAAAAUCAAACAUAAUAUUUGUGCAGUAUCCUGUAUCCAAAACUCUUAUAUCUAAUGUCAAUAAAUUUUUUUCUCCUCUCUCUUUCUUCUUACAAUUUGAGUCAUUUAAGUCCAUAUAGAGAUUCAAAAUGAUGGGACAAAAGAUAUACAAACUAGUAUCUUGUUACCUCUUGUUUACGACAAAAGCAACAACCUCAGUAGUGCUAGGUGCUUGGAUUCAUCCUCAGCAUUUUUUAUCGGAAUUCGGCAAGUACUGGAAGUAUGCAAAAUUUUUAUUGGGAGUUAUUCGAAAGAUGUUUAUUGAUAAUAAAAGAGACGACUAUAGGAGAACUAUAAGACUUUAUGAGAACUACGACAAAUCGGCAAGAACAAGGAGAUCAAUAAAUCCUAAUUCUUUUGUUGAAAAGUGUGUAUGUUUGAAAAUGUCUUUCCUUGAUAUUCAGCCUCUCUUUGUAUAGUAGAAGUCCUUUUUUUUUAUCCAAGUCGGCAUAACUUUAGCCCGUCUUUUGGUUAAAGUGGGUCGAGUUCAAUUAUUUUAUGGGCCUUGUCCAAAGGAUGUAAUCCAUCUCCAACAAUAAGUCCCUUUACGUCAUUGCGAGAAGUCGAACUCUGCGAAUUUAUAUGAAUAGGUUUGGAAAGUACGAACUUGACAUUUUGUCUUUCAAACGAGGUUGAGCUUCCUUCUUGGCGCUCAUGAGGAAAUUGCAAACCAGUUUUUAUAAACCAAACCAAAAUUUGGUUCGAAUUAGAUUAUACCUAAUCCCGGGUCCCGAGAAGUGGAAGAAUUGCUCCUAAGAAAGCGGGAAACGUACCGCCGCAUCAGGGAAUGGUUCUGUCUCUUCGUUUCUUGUGCCAUUCUUUUAUAAAUAAUGAGCUAAGUCCUCAAUUCAUAAGUUCCACUCGCGAUCAAAGUUCGGCAUCUUGACAACAUUGCCUAUCCUGAGAACUUUUUUCAAAACAUGACCAAAGUUUCAACUCUCAGUCACAAAACUUGGCCAGAAAACAGGAGAUCAAGGAUCCAACAAAGCCUCAAUUGUAUAGCAAAAGGUAAUCUUCCAUUUUGCCAAACUUGCUUUACUUCUCGCAUUUUUUUAUUUAUUUGAACUUUCUUCUUAUCCUCGGCAGUGGACGACUGGGCUUCUGACAUCCCGUGUCUAAAGGACAGAUGGGAAAAGCCAAAGGCUAUGAAGAUGAAAUCUGAACCUUUCGCAAACAUGGGAAAAUAAAGACAGCGGUUCUUGAUUAUUAUAGCAUAUACGCCGAGGAUUAUAUUGAUACUACUUAGAACCCGAUGGCAAUUCUGGACAAUCAGAAUCAGAAUCAAAUGGAGGCGACCGUCCCUAUCAAAGUACCAUUUUCGGAGGUGUCACCAAAGCCGAUCUUGAUGAAUAAGUCGGCGAAACGUAAAAGAAAUAGGUCCGCUGAGAAGGAUCAAAGUAUUGAUGAGAAGAUCGCCGAAGAAGGGAAAUACCCUGUUGUCCCUUUCAUUACUGAUGCCCCACUUUAUCAGCCUGCCGAGGAGAUUUGAAAUACUGAAGAUCCACCUUUGAAGAGAUCAAAGACUUCUAUGGAUGCAACUGAGGUGACUCCCCCGUCUUGGCCCCCCCACAUCGUCGUCGAAUUUUUGUAUUCUUAUCCUAUUCCCUUUGUUAAUAAUCUAGAAGUGUGUGCGGACUUAUUUCGCCAUGAAUAAGUUUGAUUUUGAAAUUUAAAAUAUCUCUUUAUUUUUGAAAUUUAAAUAAGUGCAAUUAUAAGGUAAAAUACAUUUUUAUCCUUUAAUAAAAUUUAUGUUGGUCAUUUUCUUCAUUAAAGACUAUUUUGUGACAAAAACUUAAAAAAAAAUUAUCCUACGGAAUUUCUCUUUAAAUAAUGUAUCAUACGUUUAUAGACUUGUUAGUUUUAAACUUGCUUAUACUUAUUUCCUCUUAACAUCCAUUUUUGAAUCAUGGAACUAAACCUUGGAUAAUGAGAGUUGUUUAAAGUUGUUAAGUUUGUGAACUGAAGUAGUAGUAAGCAGAAAAUAAAAAAAAUUUAAUGGGUUUUGCUGCUACUGUUUUAGCCUUUUCAAAUUCAUCCUCUUGGACUUUUGGAUUGUGUGCAGGAGGAGGGCGAGGACAAGGGUCGCCUAGUGCCAAAGUUUGGAGAAUGGGAUGUCAAUGACCCUUCUUCUGCUGAGGGAUUCACUGUUAUCUUCAACAAAGGUAGAAACGAGAAAAAGGCGUUGGUGGUGGCAUAUCUGAUGAACCUCCUGGAUUUAAUAAAAAUGCCCAUGUUCUUGGAAAGCCCACUAAAAAUUGGGGUUUGCUGUAUACAAUCCACUCGCGCAGAAAAAGUGGUCACGUCUUCGUCUUGCAAACGACGUUCUAUCUAUAUCUAAAAUUCGUACUGCGUCAACAAGACUGGAGCUUGUCUGAGAAGCAAUGACAGCCACUUCUGGACAUCUGGUUGGAGUGGUGUCUUUUGGUGACUCCGGUCUGGUGCAAGAAUAAUGUAUUUAUAUAUACUAUUGAUGUAUAUAUUCUGGUUUAGUGGUUUAGCUAGUUAGCUGGUUUACUUAUCCAAUUGUAUAGCUCACUAUAUAUACUUGUAAAUGCUCAUUUUAAUACACAAGAGAUAUUUUGAUAACAAACUUCUUCUCUCCCAAGAAAGCUUGUUUGUAAUAUGGUAUCAGAGCUAUUAUUGAGCUUG
Molecule: long non-coding RNA, 3485 nt
Organism: Brassica napus (rape)
Lineage: Eukaryota; Viridiplantae; Streptophyta; Magnoliopsida; Brassicales; Brassicaceae
Exons: 3
Source: RefSeq, a predicted model, not a curated record